RNAcentral lists this ribosomal RNA (853 nucleotides) under Vibrio sp. RNAcentral describes it as "bacterial SSU rRNA". It matches the Rfam family "Bacterial small subunit ribosomal RNA", at positions 46 to 873 of the family's 1533-position model. Lineage: Bacteria; Pseudomonadati; Pseudomonadota; Gammaproteobacteria; Vibrionales; Vibrionaceae. The record is from RNAcentral.
GCCUACACAUGUCAAGUCGAGCGGAACGAGUUAUCUGAACCUUCGGGGAACGAUAACGGCGUCGAGCGGCGGACGGGUGAGUAAUGCCUAGGAAAUUGCCCUGAUGUGGGGGAUAACCAUUGGAAACGAUGGCUAAUACCGCAUGAUGCCUACGGGCCAAAGAGGGGGACCUUCGGGCCUCUCGCGUCAGGAUAUGCCUAGGUGGGAUUAGCUAGUUGGUGAGGUAAGGGCUCACCAAGGCGACGAUCCCUAGCUGGUCUGAGAGGAUGAUCAGCCACACUGGAACUGAGACACGGUCCAGACUCCUACGGGAGGCAGCAGUGGGGAAUAUUGCACAAUGGGCGCAAGCCUGAUGCAGCCAUGCCGCGUGUGUGAAGAAGGCCUUCGGGUUGUAAAGCACUUUCAGUCGUGAGGAAGGUGGUGGAGUUAAUAGCUGUAUUAUUUGACGUUAGCGACAGAAGAAGCACCGGCUAACUCCGUGCCAGCAGCCGCGGUAAUACGGAGGGUGCGAGCGUUAAUCGGAAUUACUGGGCGUAAAGCGCAUGCAGGUGGUUUGUUAAGUCAGAUGUGAAAGCCCGGGGCUCAACCUCGGAAUAGCAUUUUGAAACUGGCAGACUAGAGUACUGUAGAGGGGGGUAGAAUUUCAGGUGUAGCGGUGAAAUGCGUAGAGAUCUGAAGGAAUACCGGUGGCGAAGGCGGCCCCCUGGACAGAUACUGACACUCAGAUGCGAAAGCGUGGGGAGCAAACAGGAUUAGAUACCUGGUAGUCCACGCCGUAAACGAUGUCUACUUGGAUGUUGUGGUCCUUGAGCUCGUGUCUUUUCGGAGCUAACGCGUUUAAUGUUAUCACGUC